This is a long non-coding RNA of Diorhabda sublineata, 368 nucleotides long. RefSeq lists it as uncharacterized. The record is from RefSeq and is a predicted model, not a curated record. The transcript has 3 exons. NCBI's taxonomy places the organism in Eukaryota, Metazoa, Arthropoda, Insecta, Coleoptera, Chrysomelidae.
ACAAGAAAUCCACCAGUGUCGUAGGAGUGCAAAAGGUAUUAAUUAAUUCGGAAAAAAGCCAAAAUUAAUGUUGACUUUGACGCAAGUUAUAUUGGUAGUGCUUUUGGCAAUGGAAAACAAUAAGUUUCACAAAUAGGGUUAAGACCAUUUGAUAAAGUAAAUCUCUAUUUAAAUGAUAAGACCACGGCUGUGUAAUGAAGAAGCGAAGAAUUCUGAUCUGAAAUUAUAAAUUCCAAGGCAGAAAUUCUUAACAUAAAGAAAACCUCUGUCAUCAUAGUUAACUACUUGAAAGUGUUUUAAUGGAAGGAGUCGGUAGCAAUUGGGUUGAAUGGAUUGAAAGGAUAGGAAAUACGUACCAAAACACUGAA